GGGGUUCCCCUGCCUGUUCUGAGGGGAUCCGUUCCCUAACCAGGAAAAACCCCAAGCAGCAUGGGGUCACAGGCGGUCACGAGGAGGUUGUUCCUCUGGAAGGUGGAAAUGUUCCUUUCGAGUGUGUGCGGCGUCUGCGGCGUCUGAGGUUUGGGGAGACGCCGGCAGAGGUCUGGGUUCCGAACCCGGCAGGGCAGGACAGGACGAUGGUGGGACGUAGCCUUGAAGAGCUGUGGGUGGCGCGCGUGGGGGUGCAUGGGGGUGCGUGCGGGGGU
This is a long non-coding RNA of Mustela erminea (ermine), 275 nucleotides long. RefSeq lists it as uncharacterized. The transcript has 3 exons. The record is from RefSeq and is a predicted model, not a curated record. NCBI's taxonomy places the organism in Eukaryota, Metazoa, Chordata, Mammalia, Carnivora, Mustelidae.